This is a long non-coding RNA of Homo sapiens (human), 1047 nucleotides long. NCBI's taxonomy places the organism in Eukaryota, Metazoa, Chordata, Mammalia, Primates, Hominidae. The record is from Ensembl.
UUUUUUUUUUUUUUUUGAGAUGGAGUCUCGCUCUGUAGCCCAGGCUAGCGUGCAAUGGCACAGUCUCAGCUCACUGCAACCUCUGCCUCCUGGGUUCAAGUGAUUCUCGUGACUCAGCCUCCCGAAUAGCUGGGAUUACGAGUGCCCACCACCUUGCCCAGCUAAUUUUUGUAUUUUUAGUAGAGACGGGGUUUCGCCAUGUUGGCCAGGCUGGUCUCAAACUCCUGACCUCCGGUGAUCCACCCACCUCGGCCUCCCAAAGUGCUAGGAUUACAGGCGUGAGCCACCGUGUCCGGCCUACAAAUCCUUUCAAAACCUGGCUCCCCUGGUCUCUUUCAAGAAGGCCGCCAGCUUCAGACCCUCCUGCCCCUGCCUCUCCUGCUGCCCCACGUCGCUGUUCCUCAGCAGGUGUGUCUAGUAAAGAGUGCUGCGAACUGCCUUGCAGGUGUGUGGAUCCACCUGGGCACUGUCUCUGAGCACAGCCCCUCCUCCAGUUCACUGCGCCAAGCCAGAAACCUGGGUGCACCCUGACCCCUCCUGCUCUGCACCUGCUGUCUGCUUUCAGUCCCGGGUUGACCUGGUCUCCUUGAUCUCUGCUCCCCCUGCUCUUCCCCGUGCCCCACAGUGACCCUCGCCUGCUCCUCCGUCACGGGAUCAUUGCAGCAGCACUCUUCAUGCUCCUGGUCACUUCCUCCACAACCCCAGAGUCAUCUCAUAACAAGUCAGCCUGCCUUAACAGUUUCCAUGUCACACAAACAGCUUGAGAGAGGCUGUGCAACUCACCCACAGCAGCCGCGAUCUGGGCCUCCUCCUAUGUUCCCCUGUUCAGACCCCUGCUCCAUGAACUGGGCGGACCCAUGUCCACUAAAGUGCUGAGGAAGUGACAGCGUGUGAUUUCUGAGGCUAGAUCAUAAAGGGCACAGCAGUUCUCACCUCACUCUUCUGCCUGGGUUACUGCAGAGUAAGCCAGCUACCAGUAAGCCACCCCAGCAACCCUUUGGAGAGGCAUGCGUGGAGAGCAGCCAAGGCCCUGGUGGUCCCCGGCCU